RNAcentral lists this small nuclear RNA (86 nucleotides) under Neogale vison (American mink). Its description in RNAcentral is "Neovison vison (American mink) U4 spliceosomal RNA (ENSNVIG00000004131.1)". It matches the Rfam family "U4 spliceosomal RNA". From Rfam's summary of the family: U4 small nuclear RNA (U4 snRNA) is a component of the major U2-dependent spliceosome. The structure of U4 snRNA from yeast and human has been reported. Lineage: Eukaryota; Metazoa; Chordata; Mammalia; Carnivora; Mustelidae. The record is from RNAcentral.
AACUUUGCGCAGUGGCAGUAUCGUAGCCAAUGAGGUUUAUCCGAGGCGCGAUUAUUGCUAAUUGAAACAUUCACCCCCCAAAAUGA